This 446-nucleotide ribosomal RNA is filed under the name uncultured bacterium. RNAcentral's name for it is "partial 16S ribosomal RNA". It matches the Rfam family "Bacterial small subunit ribosomal RNA", at positions 338 to 795 of the family's 1533-position model. The record is from RNAcentral.
CCUACGGGUGGCAGCAGUCGAGAAUUAUUCACAAUGGGGGAAACCCUGAUGGUGCGACGCCGCGUGGGGGAAUGAAGGUCUUCGGAUUGUAAACCCCUGUCAUGUGGGAGCAAAUUAAAAAGAUAGUACCACAAGAGGAAGAGACGGCUAACUCUGUGCCAGCAGCCGCGGUAAUACAGAGGUCUCAAGCGUUGUUCGGAAUCACUGGGCGUAAGGCGUGCGUAGGCUGUUUAGUAAGUCGUGUGUGAAAGGCGCGGGCUCAACCCGCGGACGGCACAUGAUACUGCGAGACUAGAGUAAUGGAGGGGGAACCGGAAUUCUCGGUGUAGCAGUGAAAUGCGUAGAUAUCGAGAGGAACACUCGUGGCGAAGGCGGGUUCCUGGACAUUAACUGACGCUGAGGCACGAAGGCCAGGGGAGCGAAAGGGAUUAGAUACCCGAGUAGUC